Molecule: ribosomal RNA, 402 nt
Filed under: Triticum aestivum (bread wheat)
Lineage: Eukaryota; Viridiplantae; Streptophyta; Magnoliopsida; Poales; Poaceae
Description: partial small subunit ribosomal RNA
Source: RNAcentral
AUGGUCGCUUUCCGUGAUACGUUGGAGAUUUGUGGUCUUGUUGACCUAGGUUUUGUUGGGACCCCGUUUACGUAUGAUAAUAAGAGGGGCGGAGGAGGCAAUGUGAAGGUGAGGCUGGAUAGGGCAGUGUCUAACAACGCAUGGAGGAAUUUGUUCACUUAUGCUUUGAUACUUCAUGUGCCAUCACCAUGCUCGGAUCAUGUGGCACUUGUACUGAAGGGGUCGGCUGAUCGAGGACCGAAUGGAGGGAAGCAGCAGAGGUAUGAACUUUUUUGGGAGAGGGACGGAGCUUUACCGGAGGUGAUUAAGGAGGCUUGGGAGGCCGCGGGAGGUGUGCACAACAUGACACAGCUGAGAGACGCGCUAACUAAAACAACGACAACCCUGCGUCUUUGGAGCAAA